CAGUCGCCGCGGGAAUACAGAGGGUGCGAGCGUUAAUCGGAUUUACUGGGCGUAAAGCGUGCGUAGGCGGCUUCUUAAGUCGGAUGUGAAAUCCCUGAGCUUAACUUAGGAAUUGCAUUCGAUACUGGGAAGCUAGAGUAUGGGAGAGGAUGGUAGAAUUCCAGGUGUAGCGGUGAAAUGCGUAGAGAUCUGGAGGAAUACCGAUGGCGAAGGCAGCCAUCUGGCCUAAUACUGACGCUGAGGUACGAAAGCAUGGGGAGCAAACAGGAUUAGAUACCCCAGUAGUCCCUGUCUCUUAACA
RNAcentral lists this ribosomal RNA (301 nucleotides) under uncultured bacterium. RNAcentral's name for it is "partial 16S ribosomal RNA". It matches the Rfam family "Bacterial small subunit ribosomal RNA", at positions 509 to 808 of the family's 1533-position model. The record is from RNAcentral.